Molecule: non-coding RNA, 71 nt
Organism: Podarcis lilfordi (Lilford's wall lizard)
Lineage: Eukaryota; Metazoa; Chordata; Lepidosauria; Squamata; Lacertidae
Source: the annotation of a GenBank genome assembly
AGAGAUGUAGCUCAGUGGCAGAGCAUCUCCUUCGCACACAGAAGGUCUCAGGUCAAUCCCUGGGGUCUCCA